GGGCGAGUGGCGGAAUGGCAGACGCGCUAGGUUCAGGACCUAGUGUCCGAAAGGAUGUGGGGGUUCAAGUCCCCCCUCGCCCA
Molecule: transfer RNA, 83 nt
Filed under: Actinomycetota bacterium
Lineage: Bacteria; Bacillati; Actinomycetota
Description: tRNA-Leu
Rfam family: tRNA
About the family: Transfer RNA (tRNA) molecules are approximately 80 nucleotides in length. Their secondary structure includes four short double-helical elements and three loops (D, anti-codon, and T loops).
Source: RNAcentral